CAAUAACCUGAAAUAUUUCGGUAAGUGUGAUCCUGUACAGACUCAACUGAUCAGCAGUGAGAAACAGGAGGAGACUCUCCGUCCUACAGAGAACACAGAGACACUGAGUCACUAGGAGAGAAGAA
Sander lucioperca (pikeperch) is the source of this 125-nucleotide long non-coding RNA. RefSeq lists it as uncharacterized. The record is from RefSeq and is a predicted model, not a curated record. The transcript has 3 exons. Lineage: Eukaryota; Metazoa; Chordata; Actinopteri; Perciformes; Percidae.